GAUCAUGGCUCAGGAUGAACGCUAGCGGCAGGCUUAACACAUGCAAGUCGAGGGGCAGCAUAAUGGAUAGCAAUAUCUAUGGUGGCGACCGGCGCACGGGUGCGUAACGCGUAUGCAACCUACCUUUAACAGGGGGAUAACACUGAGAAACUUGGUACUAAUACCCCAUAACAUCAUGAAAGGCAUCUUUUANGGUUGAAAUUCCGAUGGUUAGAGAUGGGCAUGCGUUGUA
This 232-nucleotide ribosomal RNA is filed under the name uncultured bacterium. Its description in RNAcentral is "partial 16S ribosomal RNA". It matches the Rfam family "Bacterial small subunit ribosomal RNA", at positions 15 to 240 of the family's 1533-position model. The record is from RNAcentral.